Molecule: small RNA, 309 nt
Filed under: Histoplasma capsulatum
Lineage: Eukaryota; Fungi; Ascomycota; Eurotiomycetes; Onygenales; Ajellomycetaceae
Also listed under: 1 other name
Description: hypothetical RNA
Source: RNAcentral
UAUUCAAUCUCUCAAGCCUCUACGUUAUCACUUACCGUCAUUAUCAUAUUUUAUAGUGAGGGAUUUCCCUGCUACCUCCAUACCCUCUUUUCAGAGACAAGAAUUCAGUUAUGGCUAGCCUUACCACCGCCAAUUCUGCUCCCCGCACCAAUGGCGUUCAACGUAUUACAUGGCAGGAGAAACUUCAAGGUCCGAGACGUCCUUGAAAAUGGAAAGUCCCGUAUUGCCAAGUACUAAAAUCCUCUGAAGAACACUGCAGGAUAACCCAAAUUCAGGCCCCAGUUUUCAAUCUUAUGUCAGACCGUCGAG